AAGUCGUAACAAGGUUUCCGUAGGUGAACCUGCGGAAGGAUCAAUCCUUAUAAUACAUAUUUAUAUGUAUGCAUUUUAUAUAUGAUGCCUAUUCUUCUCGGAGAAUAAGUGUAGUUGAAUUCAAACAGUUCGUUUGAUCAGCUAAAAAACUAAAAAAACACUUUUUAGCCAUUUGAAACGUAAAAAGUUUUUCACAACUAUUAGUGGUGGAUCACUUGGCUCGCAGGUC
Molecule: unclassified non-coding RNA, 229 nt
Filed under: fungal sp.
Lineage: Eukaryota; Fungi
Description: partial internal transcribed spacer region
Rfam family: Eukaryotic small subunit ribosomal RNA (bases 1-46)
Source: RNAcentral